This is a non-coding RNA of Trichobilharzia regenti, 48 nucleotides long. NCBI's taxonomy places the organism in Eukaryota, Metazoa, Platyhelminthes, Trematoda, Strigeidida, Schistosomatidae. The record is from Rfam.
GUACUGCUGAAGAGUCCCAGGCACUAGGACGAAUCAGCUGUCCAGUAC